This 70-nucleotide transfer RNA is filed under the name uncultured Treponema sp. It matches the Rfam family "tRNA". Rfam says of the family: Transfer RNA (tRNA) molecules are approximately 80 nucleotides in length. Their secondary structure includes four short double-helical elements and three loops (D, anti-codon, and T loops). Lineage: Bacteria; Pseudomonadati; Spirochaetota; Spirochaetia; Treponematales; Treponemataceae. The record is from RNAcentral.
GAGAAUUAGCACAAUGGUUAGUGCAGCGGACUGUUAAUCCGCCUAUACAAGUUCGAUUCUUGUAUUCUCC